This 501-nucleotide unclassified non-coding RNA is filed under the name Drosophila pseudoobscura pseudoobscura. RNAcentral's name for it is "GA32674". The record is from RNAcentral. Lineage: Eukaryota; Metazoa; Arthropoda; Insecta; Diptera; Drosophilidae.
UGCUGCAUGACGCGUAAUCAAACCUGAAACAAAGGUUCUUUCACAAUUUUCCAACCACUCGAAAUAGAAACAGGAAAAUGAAUUUUCAGUCAUGCCUUCCGUUAGAAAACUUUUGCCUGGAACUGUACAGCCCCCAAGGAUUAAGGAUAUGCUGGAUAAUAUUCAAAGACUGCACCUAGUCCUUGGAGUAGAGUCCUCGGCACUUCAAGGCCUACGGAGUCGGGACCGUGCUUAUCGGGACUUAUCGCAGACCCCCUUCAGACCAUUGUCGUGCCGUCGUGAUCCUUGGAAAAGUCAAGACCAGAAGCACUUUGAAGAUUUGUAGUUUCGAUUGUGAUAAGACUUUUGUGAAAUUUAAUGUACAAUCAGCGACCAAAAAAAAAUCCUCACACUUCCACAAAUGUUAUCCGAUUUGUUUAAUUUCUUUUUCUUCGUGUCAAUAAAUCAAUUUUUAACGAAAGUAAAAUAUUUAUCAAAUAUUACACAAAUACUAUGUCUACU